Long non-coding RNA from Canis lupus familiaris (dog), 1369 nucleotides. RefSeq lists it as uncharacterized. The transcript has 3 exons. Lineage: Eukaryota; Metazoa; Chordata; Mammalia; Carnivora; Canidae. The record is from RefSeq and is a predicted model, not a curated record.
CUUCCGGCGGGCCAAGCCGGCGUCGGAGGCGGGUAAGCGCGGCUGAGUGGGCGCUCCCCACGAGCUCGCGGAGACGCGCUGCCGGAUGCGGGUGUGGGAAGCACCGGGAAGACUUCCCGGAGAAGGACAGAACAGGAACACUUAGCUGUUCCUAGCAACUGGAUAUGGCUCUCUUCGACGAUGUGAAGGCACGUCCACCAGAUGGGACCUCUCACUUUUCUCGUUUCCAUGAUAACCAUUUGCCUUCUUUUCACACAGGUGCAGAAACUAAGGGUUAAGGAAUGAUGACCAUUUUUCCCUCCACAAAGAAUUCACAUCCGAGCUUAUCCUGGUGGAACCCUACAGGGCUGUUGGCUACCUAACAUUACCUUGCUGAGUUUUGGGAUCCUAACGUGGACGCCAGCACGCAAUCCUGUGCCAAGGUUCGAAGGGCAGGUCAGAAUGUAUCCUAGUCGCUCAUUCCACAUGAACUCCCAGCCUCGAGCUUGGAUUAAGCGUUCCACCUACAACAGUGAACAAAUGGAGUUCUUAAAUAUCCAUUUACUCAGUACAUCCAAACACUCAGUACAUCCUACACUGUUCUCUGUGUAGCUGACAUGCAGAGACGUGUACUGGAUGUUUGCCAUGAAUGAAAUUUAGGUUAAGUUGUAUUAUAAUGUCCUUAAUGGAAAAAGGCACUACUAUCAGAAUAUGAAAAUGGUCCAAUUAAAUUUGAUGAAACAUGUAAAGUACUGAAGGCAAUACCUAGAACAUACUAAACAUUCAAUGGAUGCUGUUACUAUUUUUCAUUUGAGAAUAAUAGAAUAUAGGUGUUCUCAGCAAGUAAGGCUGUGUUCAGGUUACUUAUGAACAUAGUUAUAUCCUAUACUGUCUCUAUACUUAGAAUAGCCAAGAGCACUGUUACAGAAGUUGGACUAUAAUUAGCGAUCCACAGACUUCCUAAACCAUCCUGGAUUGGGGAGGGAAGCAUAGGAACUUACUAGUAAAAGCAAAAAAAAAAAUAAAAUAAAAAAAAGUCACCAAUUCUUGGAAGCACUGCCCUGGUGGUUCCCACCCUCAAAGAGUGCCAUGAUCCUGAGAAAAAAUUAGCCCUUGGAAAUAACCAUAGUGUCUUCUGUCAAGAAUGAAAAAGUGAUUUCAUUUUAAUGAAUAUUCAGAAAUCUUGAUAACAUCUUACUUCUUUUAGUCCACGACAGAAUCGCUCAAAUACUCUUUUCAUAUUGCCUCCUUUUUCCAUAGAGAUUACCCUCGUGUGGUCUUCCUCAUUAAUCCAGAUGAGAAAUGUCUUGUCAUAAUUAUGCCUGAUGAAAAGAGAAAUAUGGUGUUGCUCGUUAAAUACAUUAGUUUCAACACAUGAAAAUUCCCUUUA